RNAcentral lists this ribosomal RNA (773 nucleotides) under uncultured Arcobacter sp. RNAcentral describes it as "bacterial SSU rRNA". It matches the Rfam family "Bacterial small subunit ribosomal RNA", at positions 562 to 1333 of the family's 1533-position model. Lineage: Bacteria; Pseudomonadati; Campylobacterota; Epsilonproteobacteria; Campylobacterales; Arcobacteraceae. The record is from RNAcentral.
AAAGAGCGUGUAGGCGGGUAGUUAAGUCAGAAGUGAAAUCCAAUAGCUCAACUAUUGAACUGCUUUUGAAACUGAUUACCUAGAAUAUGGGAGAGGUAGAUGGAAUUUCUGGUGUAGGGGUAAAAUCCGUAGAGAUCAGAAGGAAUACCGAUUGCGAAGGCGAUCUACUGGAACAUUAUUGACGCUGAGACGCGAAAGCGUGGGGAGCAAACAGGAUUAGAUACCCUGGUAGUCCACGCCCUAAACGAUGUACACUAGUUGUUGUGAGGCUCGACCUUGCAGUAAUGCAGUUAACACAUUAAGUGUACCGCCUGGGGGGUACGGUCGCAAGAUUAAAACUCAAAGGAAUAGACGGGGACCCGCACAAGCGGUGGAGCAUGUGGUUUAAUUCGACGAUACACGAAGAACCUUACCUGGACUUGACAUAGUAAGAACUUUCUAGAGAUAGAUUGGUGUCUGCUUGCAGAAACUUAUAUACAGGUGCUGCACGGCUGUCGUCAGCUCGUGUCGUGAGAUGUUGGGUUAAGUCCCGCAACGAGCGCAACCCUCGUCAUUAGUUGCUAACAGUUCGGCUGAGAACUCUAAUGAGACUGCCUACGCAAGUAGGAGGAAGGUGAGGACGACGUCAAGUCAUCAUGGCCCUUACGUCCAGGGCUACACACGUGCUACAAUGGGGUAUACAAAGAGCCGCAAUACGGUGACGUGGAGCAAAUCUCAAAAAUAUCUCCCAGUUCGGAUUGUAGUCUGCAACUCGACUACAUGAAGUUGGAAUC